Molecule: ribosomal RNA, 507 nt
Filed under: Fusarium oxysporum
Lineage: Eukaryota; Fungi; Ascomycota; Sordariomycetes; Hypocreales; Nectriaceae
Description: eukaryotic LSU rRNA
Rfam family: 5.8S ribosomal RNA (bases 141-294)
Source: RNAcentral
CGACUCACUCCAACCCCUGUGACAUACCACUUGUUGCCUCGGCGGAUCAGCCCGCUCCCGGUAAAACGGGACGGCCCGCCAGAGGACCCCUAAACUCUGUUUCUAUAUGUAACUUCUGAGUAAAACCAUAAAUAAAUCAAAACUUUCAACAACGGAUCUCUUGGUUCUGGCAUCGAUGAAGAACGCAGCAAAAUGCGAUAAGUAAUGUGAAUUGCAGAAUUCAGUGAAUCAUCGAAUCUUUGAACGCACAUUGCGCCCGCCAGUAUUCUGGCGGGCAUGCCUGUUCGAGCGUCAUUUCAACCCUCAAGCACAGCUUGGUGUUGGGACUCGCGUUAAUUCGCGUUCCCCAAAUUGAUUGGCGGUCACGUCGAGCUUCCAUAGCGUAGUAGUAAAACCCUCGUUACUGGUAAUCGUCGCGGCCACGCCGUUAAACCCCAACUUCUGAAUGUUGACCUCGGAUCAGGUAGGAAUACCCGCUGAACUUAAGCAUAUCAAUAAGCGGAGGAA